This 1370-nucleotide ribosomal RNA is filed under the name uncultured bacterium. RNAcentral's name for it is "bacterial SSU rRNA". It matches the Rfam family "Bacterial small subunit ribosomal RNA". The record is from RNAcentral.
AGAGUUUGAUCCUGGCUCAGGACGAACGCUGGCGGCGCGCCUAACACAUGCAAGUCGAACGAGCGAGAGAGAGCUUGCUUUCUCAAGCGAGUGGCGAACGGGUGAGUAACGCGUGAGGAACCUGCCUCAAAGAGGGGGACAACAGUUGGAAACGACUGCUAAUACCGCAUAAGCCCACAGCUCGGCAUCGAGCAGAGGGAAAAGGAGCAAUCCGCUUUGAGAUGGCCUCGCGUCCGAUUAGCUGGUUGGUGAGGUAAUGGCCCACCAAGGCGACGAUCGGUAGCCGGACUGAGAGGUUGAACGGCCACAUUGGGACUGAGACACGGCCCAGACUCCUACGGGAGGCAGCAGUGGGGAAUAUUGCACAAUGGGGGAAACCCUGAUGCAGCGACGCCGCGUGGAGGAAGAAGGUCUUCGGAUUGUAAACUCCUGUUGUUGAGGAAGAUAAUGACGGUACUCAACAAGGAAGUGACGGCUAACUACGUGCCAGCAGCCGCGGUAAAACGUAGGUCACAAGCGUUGUCCGGAAUUACUGGGUGUAAAGGGAGCGCAGGCGGGAAGACAAGUUGGAAGUGAAAUCUAUGGGCUCAACCCAUAAACUGCUUUCAAAACUGUUUUUCUUGAGUAGUGCAGAGUAGGCGGAAUUCCCGGUGUAGCGGUGGAAUGCGUAGAUAUCGGGAGGAACACCAGUGGCGAAGGCGGCCUACUGGGCACCAACUGACGCUGAGGCUCGAAAGUGUGGGUAGCAAACAGGAUUAGAUACCCUGGUAGUCCACACCGUAAACGAUGAUUACUAGGUGUUGGAGGAUUGACCCCUUCAGUGCCGCAGUUAACACAAUAAGUAAUCCACCUGGGGAGUACGACCGCAAGGUUGAAACUCAAAGGAAUUGACGGGGGCCCGCACAAGCAGUGGAGUAUGUGGUUUAAUUCGACGCAACGCGAAGAACCUUACCAAGUCUUGACAUCCCUUGACGAUGCUGGGAACAGUAUUUCUCUUCGGAGCAAGGAGACAGGUGGUGCAUGGUUGUCGUCAGCUCGUGUCGUGAGAUGUUGGGUUAAGUCCCGCAACGAGCGCAACCCUUACUGUCAGUUACUACGCAAGAGGACUCUGGCAGGACUGCCGUUGACAAAACGGAGGAAGGUGGGGAUGACGUCAAAUCAUCAUGCCCUUUAUGACUUGGGCUACACACGUACUACAAUGGCGUUAAACAAAGAGAAGCAAGACCGCGAGGUGGAGCAAAACUCAGAAACAACGUCCCAGUUCGGACUGCAGGCUGCAACUCGCCUGCACGAAGUCGGAAUUGCUAGUAAUCGUGGAUCAGCAUGCCACGGUGAAUACGUUCCCGGGCCCCAUGUACACACCGCCCGUC